Molecule: long non-coding RNA, 4393 nt
Organism: Lycium barbarum (goji berry)
Lineage: Eukaryota; Viridiplantae; Streptophyta; Magnoliopsida; Solanales; Solanaceae
Exons: 3
Source: RefSeq, a predicted model, not a curated record
AACUUAACACCUAGAAACAAAAGUCGUUUUGAUCGGUCACUCAGUUUUAUCGUGCCACCUGCCCCUUCCCCUUAUUAAUAUCCCACUACUGUAGUUAUAAAAGUAGGAGUCUUGUUGCCAUUCUUUCAGUUAACCAAGUGUGAGGGGCUACAAAGAAUCAUAUAUAGAAGUUCACUCUGAGAAAACUCUUCAGAAACUUUCCCUUUUUUGUUAAACCUUUCUCCACAGAUCCAACAAAAUGAGCUCCGACCGAACAUGCAGUAGCUCCUCCUAGACUAAGGAGGAAGACAAAGCAUUUGAGAACAUCCAAGCUGUCUAUUCUAGAGAUAGCGAUUUACUGAUGAAGAUUACAAGAUCAGUUCCCCAGAAAUCUCUUCAAGAAAUUACUCAGCAUUAUAAUCACCUUGUUGAAGAUGUCAGCGACAUUGAAUUGGAAAAAGCCCCCUUACCAAAUAUGGGAAAAUGCAAAGAUGUUCCAGUCGUAAAAGUAGAUCAUUAGAAGCAGUGGUAGAACGGCGAAAAGGGAUUCCUUGGACUGCAGAAGAACACAGGUAAGGCUUUAUAACAUCUAACUAAAUUGAGGAUUAUUUAAUCUCUACAAUAAUGUGUUUCUAUGUUUACAGUUGGGGGUGUACAUGGACUGGGUUGGUUCGAAUUUUCAAAUGCCAAAUCAAACCAAUUGUGUCGGGUUUUUAAAUCUAUAAACCAAAUCAAACCAACAAAAUCGGGUUUUUCAACUUUCAGAUUUCUCGGGUUUCUCAAUUUUUUCAGGUUUUUCUUCGGAAAAGUCUUCGUACAAAAUAUAUAACUUCUAAUCUGUAACUAAAAUCAUUUCUGUUUAUAUAGUAUGUAUAGUAGAAUCUAAGUUGAUCUCGUGUGAAAUUUUUUAAUAAGAACCUGCUACUCAAAAAAUUUGGUGUCGGAAAAUAUGGAAGAAAGCCCCUCUGCUUUGGUUAGUAAUUUCUUCAAUUUUCUUUUCUUUUUCCUCAAGCAAAAUUAAAGGCGGUGCUUUUUUUUUUUUUUUUUUUUUUGUAUACCUUUGUCUUUUUCAUAGACGAGUGAAGUACAACGCGAUAAUAAUGUUGUAACGUAAGUCAUUGCGUCAUCGGGAAUAAUUGUUUUUCUCUCAAACAGAUGAGUGACGUGUCACAGACAUCAGAUUUAUAAAGACAACUCGUGCUGGAAACACUUGUGAAUUUGUUUCUGACGAACAGUCUAUAUAUAAUAUAAAGCUAGGAAUGAGAAAGGUGAUGUGGCACCUCUGAAAAGCAAGGAAAGUUAUUUAUCUUUUUUCUCAAUUUUUUGAGGUUUUCUUCUAAAUUUUCCUAUUAAUCUUAUUUUAGUAGGCAUUAAAGUUUCCUGCAUUCAAAUCAUUCAAUUAAUGUACAAAGCAAUUAACCAAUUGAAAAGAAAAAGACAUCAGUUCAAUUUUCAAGCCUCUAUUAUCUUCUAACAUUUACAUAUUUAUUCUGACACUAAUUAAGUGCUGGUAAUUAAAGAGUAGAAAUAUAAGGAAGAGAGAAAUAGAAUGAUCAGCGCACACCCAAAUUAUUAUGGACAACGAAUCAGAAGCAGCCAUGAACAUAUGAGAGUAAAGGCAUUAAUGUUUCUGGUGCAGAAUCAGUGCAAAGAAUGUAUUUGGUAAUUUUAACAAUCUCAGUUUUCUUAGUUUGUUUUAGGAAGUGAAAAAGAAAGAACUGGAGCAGCCAUGGAUUAUGUAUAUAAGAGUACAUGAUUUGAUAUUUUUGGUGUAGACUUGGUGCAAAGAAUGUAUUUUUAAUUUCAACCAUUUCAUAAAUUAUGAAUUUUUAAUUUUCUUGGUUUGUUAUAGGAAGUGAAAAAUAAAAAGAGGCUUUAGCAGGAGGUAUUUUCUAUAAUAUUAAGUAAUAUGUCUUGUCCUGAUCUUGAAUAAAUUAUCAAAAUUUCUUGAAUAAAAUUUUACUAUUGUAUUUAUGAUCUCCCUUUUUCUUUUGGCAGUUGAUGUCGUGUAUUAAGCUUUCGAGAAAGAUAUGACACGCCUCUCUAUGACUAGAAAUCUAGCAUUCACAUUUAUGUUUUUUCUCAUUUAUUUGGCUUUUUAUCUUAUUUUUCCACUUCUUUUUACUCAGUUUAUGUUAGGAAUCCAAAAGAUAUGUUGGAAAAAGAAAAAACAAUCCUAAAAGCCAUUAUUAAAGAAAAAUCAUUACUUGCAUUAGAGAACCUAAUUAAAUAAACAACCGUCUCUUCCAUUAGAAAUCCAAUGCCUCUAUUAAACAAUUGUAGGGAAGUUGUUCCGGUAAAAGCGUGGGAGUCAUUGAUAAAAUUGUAAGUUUUCUUCUUUAACUAUUCUAGCAGUCUUUAUGCCAACAACUUUUUAGCUUUUUCAUAUUUCCAUUUAAUGCAAUAGUUUGUUUUCUUUUGCUUCUGUCAUUGGCAGAGGCGGAUUCAGUAUUUUAACUUUAUGAGUACCGUCUUUUAAGGUUUUUCGUAUUAACUCAUUGUAUUUUUAAAGUUAAUAGGUUCUUUUCAUAUUUUUUGUAAUUUUAGUGAAUUAUUAUAUAAAUUUAUACUCCGUAUCGAAAGUAUACCAUAAUGGUGGAUCCGUCCCUAAACACUGAAUCAACAUGCAAACAGAGUAGGCUGCUUAGAUGGUAAGGCUCUGUGUUGUGGUUGAUAGAACACCGUUUAAAAUUCUUUUGAAAAGUGUUACAUUCAUGUAUGAAGGUCUCAUUACCAAAGACAGAUCUUAUAAGGAGAAAAAAAAAUGGAAAUAUCACCUAGGGCACUUUGAUGUUUCAAUUUCGUCUGCACUAUUUGCAAUUUAUAGCCAAACCAAGUUAGUUUUGAGAACGAAUCCUGUAGCCCAAAACCAAUUUGUUACCAUGGCCAAGGUUGAUGUGCCCCCUUGUCAGUAAUAAUAUUUAUCUUUUUUUUUUUGGUCUAUUUAUCCAAUUUUUCUGAUAAAAAUUAAUAUGAUCAUGGAGUUACAAUAGAAUUUAAUGUUUACCCUAUAAAAUUAAUGUCAAUGAGAAUGAUGAAGAAUUGUGAAGGCAAUCAAGAAUAAGGAGUUGUAAUAAAUGACGAGAGGAUAGUGAAGAGUCAUUAGCAUGGGUUUUCUUCCUAACCAUGAUAAAUGGUUCCUAAAGCUUCAUUUUAAUUUUAUAGUUCAUCUUUUUCUAAAUUAAAUUGUUAUCGUGAUAAUAUUAUUUUUAUUGAUAUGAUAUAAGAUAUCAUCCAAUUUGACAAAUGACACGAUAAGACAGUAGCAUCUAUAAUUGAUAAAGGCUGGGGAACCCAAUAAAAGAGUAAUCAACCUUGAAUAUAUAUUAUUUCAGAGAUCUCCUGUUAUACCCCGUACAUUUAUACGACAAAUUAUCCGCAAGCAAAUCGACUCAAGUUAAAGGAGGAAUUAUUUUCGGACAUGAAAUAAGAGCUUUUAAUUUUCAACUUUGAUUAUCACAAAAAUUGAUUAAUUAAAGUUAGCCAAGUAAAUUAGUGGGACAUGUGUCAAUGUUAAGGGCUACUUAUAUAAAGCAUAAGAUGACUUAUAUUCCUCCAUUAUUCACAAAACUCAUCCAUCAAAGUAGAGUUAGUGAGAGAAGCUCUCAAGCCUAAAGAGAGAGAAGGUCACGGUGGCUACUGUUCACGGCGGCCACUGUUCAUGCCGCCACUGUUCACGGGCGGCGGCACUGUUCAUGGGCACUGUUCACGGCCAGCCCAUUUUUGCCCUCUUCUACACAAUUAAUUGGAGAAAUUUGAAGAUCAAGAGGAGGAAAAAUAUGGAGAUCAUGGUAGCCAUGGCAACUCACGGCUAUGGCUUUCUUGAAGACAUUUCAUGGUGAAAAAUUAGAGCUUGUCUCUAAGACCUUGGGGAGCCCGAGGCGUAGAUUUGGAUUAGCUUUAGAUUGGCUAUCUUGGAAGUGCGUUCGAGGUACAUCGCACAGUUUGGUGAUCCACCAGUUUAGGACACCCUCUUCUGCUGUUUGGAGUGCUCCUUUUAUUCCGGAGCCUACAUUUUGGUAUAUAUACUUGUUUGAUGCAUAUGUAUAUAUUUGUUCAGGGGUACGGCGGGGCCCUGUUCCGCCAUAUGAUCCGUUUGGUCUGUUUAGAGGUCUGUAGACGUAUUUGUGGGUGUGUGUGCCUACUUUUGUACGGGUGUGUUUGGUAUGAUCCCAUUCGUUAUGGCAGCCUUGUCGGCGUGCACUUUGUAUAUGUUUUGGGCCGUUGCGCCAUCUGUUAGCCUUGUCGGCUUUUGAUACAUCUGUUAGCCUUGUAGGCUUUUGAUACUUUUGAUAGCCUUGUCGGCUUUUGAUACAUUUGAUAGCCUUGCCGGCUUUUCGAUAUAAGUAUAUGUAUAUGUUUGCGCUGAAAUGUGUCCGAUACAGUUUGACAUAGUUUGAGACGACAUAUAGUG